This 301-nucleotide ribosomal RNA is filed under the name uncultured bacterium. RNAcentral describes it as "partial 16S ribosomal RNA". It matches the Rfam family "Bacterial small subunit ribosomal RNA", at positions 509 to 809 of the family's 1533-position model. The record is from RNAcentral.
CAGUAGCCGCGGUAAUACGUAGGGUGCAAGCGUUAAUCGGAAUUACUGGGCGUAAAGCGUGCGCAGGCGGUUAUAUAAGACAGAUGUGAAAUCCCCUGGCUCAACCUGGGAACUGCAUUUGUGACUGUAUAGCUAGAGUACGGCAGAGGGGGAUGGAAUUCCGCGUGUAGCAGUGAAAUGCGUAGAUAUGCGGAGGAACACCGAUGGCGAAGGCAAUCCCCUGGGCCUGUACUGACGCUCAUGCACGAAAGCGUGGGGAGCAAACAGGAUUAGAGACCCCUGUAGUCCCUGUCUCUUAUAA